Molecule: long non-coding RNA, 804 nt
Organism: Oncorhynchus keta (chum salmon)
Lineage: Eukaryota; Metazoa; Chordata; Actinopteri; Salmoniformes; Salmonidae
Exons: 3
Source: RefSeq, a predicted model, not a curated record
AGGCCAAGACAGACUUAGGGGUUUAGGUAACCUGAAGCAGGGAGGCCAAGACAGACUUAGGGGUUUAGGUAACCUGAAGCAGGGAGGCCAAGACAGACUUAGGGGUUUAGGUAACCUGAAGCAGGGAGGCCAAGACAGACUUAGGGGUUUAGGUAACCUGAAGCAGGGAGGCCAAGACAGACUUAGGGGUUUAGGUAACCUGAAGCAGGGAGGCCAAGACAGACUUAGGGGUUUAGGUAACCUGAAGCAGGGAGGCCAAGACAGACUUAGGGGUUUAGGUAACCUGAAGCAGGGAGGCCAAGACAGACUUAGGGGUUUAGGUAACCUGAAGCAGGGAGGCCAAGACAGACUUAGGGGUUUAGGUAACCUGAAGCAGGGAGGCCAAGACAGACUUAGGGGUUUAGGUAACCUGAAGCAGGGAGGCCAAGACAGAGUUAGGGGUUUAGGUAACCUGAAGCAGGGAGGCCAAGACAGAGUUAGGGGUUUAGGUAACCUGAAGCAGGGAGGCCAAGACAGAGUUAGGGGUUUAGGUAACCUGAAGCAGGGAGGCCAAGACAGAGUUAGGGGUUUAGGUAACCUGAAGCAGGGAGGCCAAGACAGAGUUAGGGGUUUAGGUAACCUGAAGCAGGGAGGCCAAGACAGACUUAGGGGUUUAGGUAACCUGAAGCAGGGAGGCCAAGACAGAGUUAGGGGUUUAGGUAACCUGAAGCAGGGAGGCCAAGACAGAGUUAGGGGUUUAGGUAACCUGAAGCAGGGAGUUAUCCCCUAUGCUACUGACAAACAGAGUUGAGCGCGAUUAGCAUA